This is a long non-coding RNA of Bos taurus (domestic cattle), 652 nucleotides long. The record is from Ensembl. NCBI's taxonomy places the organism in Eukaryota, Metazoa, Chordata, Mammalia, Artiodactyla, Bovidae.
GUUUAUUCUCUAUAUCUGUGAGUCUGCUUCUUUUUUAUAUUCCACAUAUGUGACAACAUAUAGUAUUUGUACUUCUCUGUCUGACUUAUCUCACUAACAUAAUACUAACUCUACCCGUCAUGUUGCAAAUGGCAGAAUUUCAUUCUUUUUAAUGACUGAGUAGUAUUUCAUUCUUUAUCUUCUUCAUCCAGUCAUCUGUUGAUAGACACAUGUGCAGAGGCUGGCAGGGGACCCGUUUCAGGGGAAAUCGUGAGUUCGGCUUUGGAUAUAUUGAGUUCACUGCAAAGUGGUGGAAAAAAUGCCAUACACGGUGACUUACACAAAGUUCCUGCUACCUUAGGACCAGAGGAGACCCAGGACACCAAGGGUAAUUGGGGCAGCCUCACCAGCUAAGUGCCUCCCUCCUGCUUCUAAGGCUUCCACAUUCUAGAUCUGCAUCUCAGCAAAAUUACAGCACAAAGGACUUGCCCAAACGCCACAGCUAGGAAACUUCAGCCCAGCUUCAAUCUGUGUUAGAUCGCCUUAAGGUGACCCCUGCCCUGGAACUGAAUUCUUGCUCAAGUGGAGCUGACCUGUUUGCGGUGGAGUCUCUCUCCUCUAUGCAGAAGUCUGAAUAAAAUCUGUCUUGCCAUGAGUAAGACAUGUCCAGCUC